GAUUAACGCUGGCGGCGUGCAUAACACAUGCAAGUCGAACGAUGAAACUUAAAUGAUUUCUUCGGAAUGAACGUAAGUGGAGUAGUGGUGGACGGGGGAGUAACGCCUGAGUACCCUGCCUUACACAAGGGGAUAGCCGUUGGAUACGACGAAUAAUACCCUAUGAUGUUUCUAUCUCGCGUGAGAAACUAAGCAUAGUGUUAGCGGUGUGAGUUGGACUUGCGUCUGAUUAGCUAGUUGGCGCGAAAAAAGCCCACCAAGGCAACGAUCAGUAGUGGGCUUGAGAGAGUCUACAGCCACAUUGGGACUGGGCCACGGCCCCGACGCGUACGGGCGGCGGCGAUGGUGACUUUAGCAGAAUGAGCGAAAUACUGCUGCAGCGCCGCCGCGUGAAUUGGAAGGCCUUCGGGUUGUAAAAAUCGUUUGUAUAAGAAGAAAAUGACAGUACUAGCAGAAUAAGGUCCGGCUAACUACGUG
This 477-nucleotide ribosomal RNA is filed under the name uncultured bacterium. RNAcentral describes it as "partial 16S ribosomal RNA". It matches the Rfam family "Bacterial small subunit ribosomal RNA", at positions 28 to 507 of the family's 1533-position model. The record is from RNAcentral.